GUUCUCGUGACGUGAAGAGACCUUCGCCGUGAACACCCUCGUAGUGCGUGCUGCCGAACAUGGAGCUGCUGCGGAGCCGCGCCUCCCGCCUGACGCCGUGACUGUGCGGCGUGUUCCCCGCAGUCAUGGGAGUUUCUCAUUUUUCGUGGAAGAUAUUUAAGGAAGUGCAAUGCGCCUACGACUUGGGACAGUUUUCCAGCGAGGAAGUGGCAAUGGGUGUUCCGCGACAUAUGUUCAUCAAAGAAGUACCGAAAAAGCUUUCCAUGGGCCCCUCUGCUUUCUUCGUGGGCUUUCUUUGACAAAAAAAGAGCCUGUUUCCACUGGCCCCGAGCGGCACCGGAAUCAAGAAGCCUGUUCAAGGAUAUAGCGCAAGGGCUGGAAUAGGGACUGUACACGGCUGCAAACUGUAACGAGAACAACAGAAGAAACUCCUGAAGCGGUUAUUAGAGAGAGGGGUAUGUUCACUAUUAAA
Non-coding RNA from Dermacentor albipictus, 472 nucleotides. The record is from RefSeq and is a predicted model, not a curated record. NCBI's taxonomy places the organism in Eukaryota, Metazoa, Arthropoda, Arachnida, Ixodida, Ixodidae.